This 215-nucleotide long non-coding RNA is filed under the name Elaeis guineensis (African oil palm). RNAcentral's name for it is "long non-coding RNA (EGUI_LNC012558)". Lineage: Eukaryota; Viridiplantae; Streptophyta; Magnoliopsida; Arecales; Arecaceae. The record is from RNAcentral.
ACAGAGAUUUUUACUUCUGUCGAUAACAAACUCGUCACAAUUGUUUACUAGUUCAUGUUUAGUAUGUCCAAUUAAUCGAUAUAAUUUUCACUUAUCCUUGAUCAACGAUCAAUACAAGAAAUAAUAAAAUUAUGGAUAAAUUACAAAACCUCCCUUGAGAUUUACAUUUAUUACACUUUAACCCAAUAGUUUAAAAAACUUACACUUACCCCCUA